GCUCAACCGUGGAGGGUCAUUGGAAACUGGGAAACUUGAGUGCAGAAGAGGAAAGUGGAAUUCCAUGGGUAGCGGUGAAAUGCGCAGAGAUAUGGAGGAACACCAGUGGCGAAGGCGACUUUCUGGUCUGUAACUGACGCUGAUGUGCGAAAGCGUGGGGAUCAAACAGGAUUAGAUACCCUGGUAGUCCACGCCGUAAACGAUGAGUGCUAAGUGUUAGGGGGUUUCCGCCCCUUAGUGCUGCAGCUAACGCAUUAAGCACUCCGCCUGGGGAGUACGACCGCAAGGUUGAAACUCAAAGGAAUUGACGGGAACCCGCACAAGCGGUGGAGCAUGUGGUUUAAUUCGAAGCAACGCGAAGAACCUUACCAAAUCUUGACAUCCUUUGACCACUCUAGAGAUAGAGCUUUCCCCUUCGGGGGACAAAGUGACAGGUGGUGCAUGGUUGUCGUCAGCUCGUGUCGUGAGAUGUUGGGUUAAGUCCCGCAACGAGCGCAACCCUUAAGCUUAGUUGCCAUCAUUAAGUUGGGCACUCUAGGUUGACUGCCGGUGACAAACCGGAGGAAGGUGGGGAUGACGUCAAAUCAUCAUGCCCCUUAUGAUUUGGGCUACACACGUGCUACAAUGGACAAUACAAAG
RNAcentral lists this ribosomal RNA (639 nucleotides) under uncultured bacterium. RNAcentral's name for it is "bacterial SSU rRNA". It matches the Rfam family "Bacterial small subunit ribosomal RNA", at positions 607 to 1244 of the family's 1533-position model. The record is from RNAcentral.